ACCUGUUUAAUAAGAACAUUGUGUUAAGGCAUUGGCACAUUUUUACAACAGGAUCCACAACUGGAAAACAUGUUUAAUGUCAAACCAAUAUUGUCAAAUUUAAAGUGGUCACCAAAGUUUUAAAUGUUACACUUAAACAUAUCUGGGUGAAUCCAAUACUAUUUCUAAAUCAAUUAUGGCUGCUCAUUGCUGUUUUUUUAGCAUUGUUUUUCCAAAGUAAAGUUUUCGUCCUCUGUGUGGAGUCAUCCUGAUUUGAUUCGCUAUGAAUA
This is a long non-coding RNA of Sander lucioperca (pikeperch), 269 nucleotides long. RefSeq lists it as uncharacterized. The transcript has 2 exons. The record is from RefSeq and is a predicted model, not a curated record. NCBI's taxonomy places the organism in Eukaryota, Metazoa, Chordata, Actinopteri, Perciformes, Percidae.